RNAcentral lists this ribosomal RNA (464 nucleotides) under Vreelandella stevensii. Its description in RNAcentral is "partial 16S ribosomal RNA". It matches the Rfam family "Bacterial small subunit ribosomal RNA", at positions 338 to 794 of the family's 1533-position model. The record is from RNAcentral. Lineage: Bacteria; Pseudomonadati; Pseudomonadota; Gammaproteobacteria; Oceanospirillales; Halomonadaceae.
CCUACGGGUGGCAGCAGUGGGGAAUAUUGGACAAUGGGCGAAAGCCUGAUCCAGCCAUGCCGCGUGUGUGAAGAAGGCCUUCGGGUUGUAAAGCACUUUCAGUGGGGAAGAAAGCCUUGGGGCUAAUACCCUCGAGGAAGGACAUCACCCACAGAAGAAGCACCGGCUAACUCCGUGCCAGCAGCCGCGGUAAUACGGAGGGUGCGAGCGUUAAUCGGAAUUACUGGGCGGAAAGCGCGCGUAGGCGGUCUGAUAAGCCGGUUGUGAAAGCCCCGGGCUCAACCUGGGAACGGCAUCCGGAACUGUCAGGCUAGAGUGCAGGAGAGGAAGGUAGAAUUCCCGGUGUAGCGGUGAAAUGCGUAGAGAUCGGGAGGAAUACCAGUGGCGAAGGCGGCCUUCUGGACUGACACUGACGCUGAGGUGCGAAAGCGUGGGUAGCAAACAGGAUUAGAUACCCCAGUAGU